UGUUGUUCUUCACUUCUGCUUUCCUCAGGAAAUAAGUGCAGCAGCUCAUCAAGUGAUUCACAGUGGAAAGUUCAAAGAACAGAGUGAGAGCUACUGCAUGCACCAAAGUGCCUAAUUGGACAGAAGCAAUAAAGCUCUCUUUAUCUGUAUGUCCCUACUGACUGUAAGAGGAGCUGCUGGAUCUAGGAGCCCAGUAUGGACAAAGCAGCUGAGCUCAUGUGGCAACUGGAAGAUUCACCUUGCGAAGCAGGACAACAAGAGCAAAGCCCUGAUGAUGUCAAUAAAUCAGAAGUGCCUGAACAGCCCGCACAAAGAAAGGACAACCUACCCCAGAGUCAUACUCUCCAGUGGGAGACUCUAUGCAGACAAUUUGUAGAAUAUGAGCAGGUGGCUCCAUUUCUCAUCCCGGAGGAACAACAGAGAAGGCUGCUGGACUUUCUUCCCCUCUUCCUAAAGGCUUGGGAACAGUCUGCUGGAGUAAUUGUAUUCCCUAGCGUUCAGCUGCUAGCCGGUGAGGUUUCCAAGCUUCUGACAAAGGAGAU
This 542-nucleotide long non-coding RNA is filed under the name Chrysolophus pictus (golden pheasant). RNAcentral's name for it is "lncRNA (ENSCPIG00010008586.1)". The record is from RNAcentral. Lineage: Eukaryota; Metazoa; Chordata; Aves; Galliformes; Phasianidae.